RNAcentral lists this ribosomal RNA (253 nucleotides) under uncultured bacterium. RNAcentral's name for it is "partial 16S ribosomal RNA". It matches the Rfam family "Bacterial small subunit ribosomal RNA", at positions 524 to 776 of the family's 1533-position model. The record is from RNAcentral.
UACGUAGGGACCAAGCGUUGUUCGGAUUUACUGGGCGUAAAGGGCGCGUAGGCGGCAAUUCAAGUCAGUUGUGAAAUCUCCGAGCUUAACUCGGAACGGUCAACUGAUACUGUUUUGCUAGAGUACAGAGGGGGCAAUCGGAAUUCUUGGUGUAGCGGUGAAAUGCGUAGAUAUCAAGAGGAACACCUGAGGUGAAGACGGGUUGCUGGGCUGAUACUGACGCUGAGGCGCGAAAGCUAGGGUAGCAAGCGGG